GAAGCUUCCGCUCAGAGACUUCAGGAUGCAUGAAGUUGAGGAGGGGGAGGUGUUGGUUACCCUCUCAGACCACGGCUGGACAGCCAUCAGCUCUCUCACUUAGGCGUCUGUACAGGAGCCAGCCAAUGAGGGCGCCUGGGUGGCUCAGUCGGUUAAGCCUUUCAAUAUCCGCCUCCUGCCAGCAGGCAGAAUCCGUUCACCAUACCUCCCCCAAAGGAGCAACCCGGUAGGAUGACUGAUUGGCUGUUUUAGCCAUCGAAUUGGCUUGACCAGGUGUACCUAGACUGAGUGCUACACCCCAUAAAUCCCUCCACCAAGCAAACGGGGACAGGAGGUCACCCUGCUCAUAGGAGAGACUGAAACGGAAACGUUGGAAGGAAUCAGCACAUUUACCCUAUGCUAAGUGGAUUGGAAGACACACCUGACAGUGCCCCAAUCCCAGGACCCUCAGGUUAGAUGAAGACAGGUCUGCGGACGAGAGCUUCUUCACCAGACAUUCCAACAAAGCACAGAUUAUUAGAAGACAUCAGAUACCGCCCCCCCCCGCCCACCCCCCGUGUUUAAAUUCCAGGGAUUGAAGAGCUGACUUUCACUUUCUAGAAAUACCAACAUU
Suricata suricatta (meerkat) is the source of this 613-nucleotide long non-coding RNA. RefSeq lists it as uncharacterized. The record is from RefSeq and is a predicted model, not a curated record. The transcript has 5 exons. NCBI's taxonomy places the organism in Eukaryota, Metazoa, Chordata, Mammalia, Carnivora, Herpestidae.